GGUAGCAUAAUCACUUGCUGCUUAAUUGGCAGCUGGAAUGAAAGGUUAAACUGGCUUAGCCAGUUUGUUUUUCUAGUUAAAACCUUUAAGUCAAGGUAAGAAUUCUUUGAUAAGCUAGGGGACGAUAAGACCCUAGAAGCUUAACAAAUAGUUAAAGUGUUAGUCAUGCUUAAUAUUUUGGUUUACUGGGGCGGUGACAAUGAUUGAACCAUUUAUACAUAAACUGGUCCCCCUUAUAGGGAAAAAUUGGUGUAGUUACUCUAGGGUUAACAGUGCUAUAUUUUUGGAGAGACCUUAUCGAUAAAAAUUUUUGCAACCUCGAUGUUGAAUUAAGAUGUCUGCGUAAAGUAGCAGGUACGUAAGAGGGUUUGUUCAACCUUUUAAGUCUUACAUGAUCUGAGUUCAAACCGGAG
This 413-nucleotide ribosomal RNA is filed under the name Pseudomicruropus rotundatulus. Its description in RNAcentral is "partial 16S ribosomal RNA". It matches the Rfam family "Bacterial large subunit ribosomal RNA", at positions 1955 to 2621 of the family's 2925-position model. The record is from RNAcentral. Lineage: Eukaryota; Metazoa; Arthropoda; Malacostraca; Amphipoda; Acanthogammaridae.